RNAcentral lists this ribosomal RNA (304 nucleotides) under uncultured bacterium. Its description in RNAcentral is "partial 16S ribosomal RNA". It matches the Rfam family "Bacterial small subunit ribosomal RNA", at positions 509 to 807 of the family's 1533-position model. The record is from RNAcentral.
CAGCAGUCGCCGCGGGAAUACGUAGGGUGCGAGCGUUAAUCGGAAUUACUGGGCGUAAAGCGUGCGCAGGCGGUUAUAUAAGACAGAUGUGAAAUCCCCGGGCUCAACCUGGGACCUGCAUUUGUGACUGUAUAGCUAGAGUACGGUAGAGGGGGAUGGAAUUCCGCGUGUAGCAGUGAAAUGCGUAGAUAUGCGGAGGAACACCGAUGGCGAAGGCAAUCCCCUGGACCUGUACUGACGCUCAUGCACGAAAGCGUGGGGAGCAAACAGGAUUAGAUACCCCUGUAGUCCCUGUCUCUUAUAC